GUAGUCCAAAGAAAAAUCUGUCUACAAAUACUAGUAUGUAUGUAUGUCUCUGUGUGGGUAUGGAGUGUACAUAUUAGUCAUGUGCUUGUGGCAGCCGGAGGUGUCAGAUCCUCCUGGAACUGGAGUUACAGGAAGCUGUGGGAUGCCUGACAAGGGUGUGGGGAAUUGAACUUAGGUCUUCUGGAAGAUCAGUACAUACUAUUAACUAAUGAACUGUUUUUUUUUCAGUCCCCUCUUCUACCCUUCCUUUAUGUGUCUGUCCUGAACUAAAUGAGAAUUUCAGAUAAAUGACAAAUAUGUUUUGUUGAUCCCAGUAUGCAUUAUGGUUUGAAUGUGAAAUGUCCUUCACAGGCUCAUGUGUUCUAACACUUUGUUCCCAGUUGGUGGCGCUGUUCUAAGAAGUUGCUGUACUCCUUCCUAGGACUGUGGCCUAGCUAACAGAAGUCAGUGCAGUUCCACCAAGCUCUGCUUCCCCUGGAUAUGAAGAUCUGAGGAGCUUCUGCCGCAUUGGACUGGCCCACUCCCACAUGCUGCUCCCCUGCCAACGACUCAGACUCCAACUCAAGAGCCAGAGCCAUCUAGGAACCAAAAUGAAAUCUGGCAUCACGUCACGUGUGAGGAGAGUUUUUAUACUGACCUGUUCAGUGCGCAAAACACAAUCUCUCCUGGUGCCUGAGCCCACUUUGAAGACUACAGGAGACUGAGGCGAUCCAAAGACCCACCAAGACCUCCAUCUGCACUGCGGGUGGCUGAGUUGAAGCCAUGGGAACCGGAGGUGAGGGCGCAAACCCCCAUUGUCUCUUCACCCACGCCCCGAAUGGAACAGAUUAUCGGCACCAGACUCUGCUCCAAAGUACCAAGACUGGAGCUGCACAUCCUCUCUGCUCUAAGUUAUCCUCCAGACUGUGGGCGGGGAGUUCAUCUCUGCCUUCUGAGUUGUGGAGAGCUUUGCUGCCCGCCUGAUUCCCUCCCAACGCCCCACACAGAACUGGCUCCUGUCCUCUCCAUGAAAGCGGUUAUCCUGGCUUUUUAUCCUGUCAGCUUAAAAGGGCUGAGAGCAAGAACUGUUUCCUGCUUCUCAGAUUCCUUAGAACUGGGGUGUCAUCCACCUCGCCCCCACUCUCAAUAAACUGUCGUCCAUGAA
This is a long non-coding RNA of Peromyscus leucopus (white-footed mouse), 1144 nucleotides long. RefSeq lists it as uncharacterized. NCBI's taxonomy places the organism in Eukaryota, Metazoa, Chordata, Mammalia, Rodentia, Cricetidae. The record is from RefSeq and is a predicted model, not a curated record. The transcript has 3 exons.